CCCAAAAGUUGUUGACUUGUUGGAUGUUGUUUAUUUUGUGAUGUAGCUGUCACUUGCCUCAUUGUUGGUCUCCAUGGAAACUCUCCAUAACUCAGUGGAGAGAAAUUCCAUGGGAAAGCAAUGGGUGCGUUCCGGAAGAGAUCUGGGUUUGGUGUAUUGUCGUUUAAGUUGGUUGAAUUGUUAAGUUGCAUGUGAAGGAAACUUUGUUUUAUGUCCGUGUUUAGUUUUCAGUACUGACGGUUAAUGCAUGUCAUUGCAGUGGUUAGGUGGUUCGUAUUUAUACGUUUUGUGGUUACGUUGUUAUUAUGUGUAUGGAUUUUUUUUUUAAAUGUUCUGGUUUCAUGUGGUUCUGUGUUACAGGUCUCUCCGAUUUCGACCGUGGAACACACCCUUAGUUCUUGGGACACUGAUACCCCUAUUCUGUUGGAAGUGUUCUAAUACCUAAGUGGUUUCCCACUAUUUGAGUGUGAUGAUGUUGGUUGAGGUUAUAUGUAUGGAUAGGUGGAUCGGAUGAUGUGUUCCUGUUAGAGAUAGAAUACAUCAUCCGAAUAUUUUUUUUUGCCGGUGUUUGUGGGAUGAUAAUUUCAGCCCUCCCUCAUUUGGCCAUCUACCACACAGUGGAUUAAAAAGUGAGUGAUAGUGGUAGAAUUAAAUUCAAAUAUUAAAAAAGAAACAGUUGGACCACCAGAUUCUAAAAUAGAAAGAAAAGAUAUUUAAGAAAGUGAAAUAAGUGGAAUGUUAAUUGGUGCCAACAAUUUUGGAUAAAGAAACCCAGCAAACAACAAGAAAAGUUUGAUUCCCGGCGGCCCGAAUUAAAUUAUGGAGAGCGGGGCCGCCGCCCAAAAAAAAAAAACAAAGAUUUUGAAAUUUAAAUAAAAUUCGAACAAAUUUUGAAAUUGAAUAAAAUUCAAAAAAUUUUUGAAAUUGAACAAAAUCAAAAAUUAAAUACAAAUUUGAAAAACUGAAACCCAAAGAAGAAAAAUCUGAAAUUGAAGGAAAUAAAAAAAGGAAACUUGAAAGAAAAGGAGGUUUGGACGUGAACCAAAUUGAAGGAGAAAAAAACAAUCAAUUUUUAAAUUAUAUAUACAUAUGCGUACAUCUCCAUAUCAUACAUAUAUUUCUUCGUACCUAACCAGUGGAUCUUUUUGUGUUUGUGAUUGUCCUAUAUUUAAGUUUUUUUUUCGAAAUUUAACAAAUUAAUUCUUUAAGUAAUUCAUCGGCGUGGAAGUUAAUUUUUUUUUGUUUAAUUCCAUAAUCUUUUUUGUAUCUUUUUUUUUAUUGAGGUGCGAAAAGAAACGGUUGGUGUUAAUUUCGUGUUUGGUCCCGUAAAUUUGUUGUUGUAUAGGGUCCUAAAAGAUACCUCCUGAGAGCUCUUUAGGGGUAGGGAAUUAGGGCUCCGAUAAACGUUUUCGCUUAAUAAAAAUAGAAUAUACCCCAAAAGGGUACUUCUACGCAAAGGUAGAAGCAAAUAAAGUCGUGGAACUACCAACCUGGCUUUUUUUUUGUUACCAGAUUCUUUUUCUUGUUUUUUUGAUGUUAAUUUUUUUUUGUUAAUUUAUUUUGUGAAUUUAUUUUGUUUAAAUUAAACUUCCGACAGAAACGCCGGAAAUAGAAAAGAAAAGUUUUUUUAUGUUUCGCCCAAGCGAAACGAUGAGUGUUUGAGUCUUUUUUUUUCAGGGGUGUCGAGGGUAGCGGAGUGGACAUGGACCUAGGAUGACCUGAACCCGAUCGUCGACCACAAUUUUGGGGGUAUCCAAAACUGGCCACGGAUACCUAAAGGUAGGGUGGGUAAUGGCCUCACUGCACAUCAUCCGCAGUGCCCUGAUGUGCCAAUAGUCCGUCCGUUUAUGUUUCCUUCCUUUUCCUCAUUCCUUGGCCUGAUUUAUGUUUUUGUCUGCAGGCGAGGUUGAGUUUCGGGGGCAAGAUCCCCCCCCGUCCGACGAGCUGACGCCGUGCACCGCAAGCAGGCCGCGUCCCCCGGAUCUCAACAAUCCCACCUAACCUAUUCCAACUCUUCCUAUCUCUUUUUCCUACCUCAUCCUUAUCCUACCCUUCCACUUCACCCACCUCCACACCUCCUCUUGCCUCGCA
Eupeodes corollae is the source of this 2091-nucleotide long non-coding RNA. RefSeq lists it as uncharacterized. Lineage: Eukaryota; Metazoa; Arthropoda; Insecta; Diptera; Syrphidae. The record is from RefSeq and is a predicted model, not a curated record. The transcript is spliced from 3 exons.